Molecule: ribosomal RNA, 500 nt
Filed under: uncultured bacterium
Lineage: Bacteria
Description: partial 16S ribosomal RNA
Rfam family: Bacterial small subunit ribosomal RNA
Source: RNAcentral
GACGAACGCUGGCGGCGUGCCUAAUACAUGCAAGUCGUGCGGACCUUGUUGAAAGCUUGCUUUUAAAAGAUUAGCGGCGGACGGGUGAGUAACACGUGGGCAACCUGCCUGUAAGACUGGGAUAACGCCGGGAAACCGGGGCUAAUACCAGAUCGUUUUUUCCUCCGCAUGGAGGAAAAAGGAAAGGCGGCUUCGGCUGCCACUUACAGAUGGGCCCGCGGCGCAUUAGCUAGUUGGCGGGGUAAUGGCCCACCAAGGCAACGAUGCGUAGCCGACCUGAGAGGGUGAUCGGCCACAUUGGGACUGAGACACGGCCCAAACUCCUACGGGAGGCAGCAGUAGGGAAUCUUCCGCAAUGGACGAAAGUCUGACGGAGCAACGCCGCGUGAGUGAAGAAGGCCCUCGGGUCGUAAAACUCUGUUGCCGGGGAAGAACAAGUGCCGUUCGAACAGGGCGGCGCCUUGACGGUACCCGGCCAGAAAGCCACGGCUAACUACGUG